Molecule: ribosomal RNA, 117 nt
Filed under: Candidatus Bathyarchaeota archaeon
Lineage: Archaea; Thermoproteati; Candidatus Bathyarchaeota
Source: RNAcentral
GUUCACGGCCAUAGCCUCCGGGGUAAGACCCGAACCCAUCAGAACUCGGAAGUGAAUCCCGGAGGCGCCGGGCAUUACUGCCCUCGUAGGGGGCGGGAAAACCCGGUGCCGUGAACC